Molecule: long non-coding RNA, 252 nt
Organism: Pyrus x bretschneideri (Chinese white pear)
Lineage: Eukaryota; Viridiplantae; Streptophyta; Magnoliopsida; Rosales; Rosaceae
Exons: 3
Source: RefSeq, a predicted model, not a curated record
UCCGGCAAAACACCCACCUCCGGCGAAACCAGUCCGGCGACGCGAGGAAGAAGACGCGCGCGUGGGCAGCGCGUAGACAGGGCGCGUGAGAGCUCCAAAUUUAGUUCUAAAAAUUUUCACGUGUUCGUGACGUCGUGUAGAUCACCGUGGUGAAAAUUAUACAGAAGAAGAAUGUAACCAAUCUAGGGGAGGCUCAGGGACCUACGAGACGUCGAAGUGAUCUGUUCAAGAAUUGCAAAGGUGUGGUGACUA